This 478-nucleotide ribosomal RNA is filed under the name uncultured bacterium. RNAcentral's name for it is "partial 16S ribosomal RNA". It matches the Rfam family "Bacterial small subunit ribosomal RNA", at positions 28 to 523 of the family's 1533-position model. The record is from RNAcentral.
GACGAACGCUGGCGGCGUGCUUAACACAUGCAAGUCGAACGGUAAGGCCCUUCGGGGUACACGAGUGGCGAACGGGUGAGUAACACGCGGGUGAUCUGCCCUGCACUUCGGGAUAAGCCUGGGAAACUGGGUCUAAUACCGGAUAGGACCACUGCCUGCAUGGGUGGUGGUGGAAAGCUUUUGCGGUGUGGGAUGGGCCCGCGGCCUGUCAGCUUGUUGGUGGGGUGUGGGCCUACCAAGGCGACGACGGGUAGCCGGCCGGGGAGGGUGACCGGCCACACUGGGACUGAGAUACGGCCCAGACUCCUACGGGAGGCAGCAGUGGGGAAUAUUGCACAAUGGGCGCAAGCCUGAUGCAGCGACGCCGCGUGAGGGAUGACGGCCUUCGGGUUGUGAACCUCUUUCAGCACCGACGAAGCGCAAGUGACGGUAGGUGCAGAAGAAGGACCGGCCAACUACGUGCCAGCCGCCGCAGUAA